CCUUGUACACACCGCCCGUCACGUCACGAAAGUUGGUAACACCCGAAGCCGAUGGCCUAACCAGCUUGCUGGGGGGAGUCGUCGAAGGUGGGACUGGCGAUUGGGACG
This 108-nucleotide ribosomal RNA is filed under the name uncultured bacterium. Its description in RNAcentral is "partial 16S ribosomal RNA". It matches the Rfam family "Bacterial small subunit ribosomal RNA", at positions 1379 to 1482 of the family's 1533-position model. The record is from RNAcentral.